Molecule: ribosomal RNA, 684 nt
Filed under: Russula risigallina
Lineage: Eukaryota; Fungi; Basidiomycota; Agaricomycetes; Russulales; Russulaceae
Description: eukaryotic LSU rRNA
Rfam family: 5.8S ribosomal RNA (bases 236-389)
Source: RNAcentral
AAAAGUCGUAACAAGGCAUCCGAAGAAGCGCCGGCGGAAGGAUCAUUAUCGUACAACGGGGGUGCGAUGGCUGUCGCUGACCCUUCGAAAGGUCGUGCACGCUCGAGCACUCUCAUAAAUCCAUCUCACCCCUUUGUGCAUCACCGCGUGGGUUCCCUUUGCAGGAGGGCCACGUUUUCACACAAAACUUGAUACAGUGUAGAAUGUUAUUUUUGCGGUCGCACGCAAUCAAUACAACUUUCAACAACGGAUCUCUUGGCUCUCGCAUCGAUGAAGAACGCAGCGAAAUGCGAUACGUAAUGUGAAUUGCAGAAUUCAGUGAAUCAUCGAAUCUUUGAACGCACCUUGCGCCCCUUGGCAUUCCGAGGGGCACACCCGUUUGAGUGUCGUGAAAUUAUCAAAWACCCUUUUCUGUUUACUGAAAAGGAUUUUUGGACUUGGASGUUUAAUGCUUGCCUUUCACAUUUGAAAGUGAGCUCCUCUCAAAUGAAUUAGUGGGGUCCGCUUUGUCGGUCCUUGACGUGAUAAGAUGUUUCUACGUUUUGGAUUUGGCACUGUCCCUUUGGAUUCCUGCUCCUAACUGUCCAACGGACAAAUGAUGGUGCUCCGGUCGACUCCGUCUACAUUGGCGGGGGAGGGCUGGACCCGCACUAGAAAAGCUUGCCCUGACCUCGGGUGAGACUA